Molecule: ribosomal RNA, 48 nt
Filed under: Enallagma cyathigerum cyathigerum
Lineage: Eukaryota; Metazoa; Arthropoda; Insecta; Odonata; Coenagrionidae
Description: partial 28S ribosomal RNA
Source: RNAcentral
UUCUCAAAACGCCGACCUCAGAGCAGGUGAGAUCACCCGCUGAAUUUA